RNAcentral lists this ribosomal RNA (412 nucleotides) under uncultured bacterium. Its description in RNAcentral is "bacterial SSU rRNA". It matches the Rfam family "Bacterial small subunit ribosomal RNA", at positions 29 to 489 of the family's 1533-position model. The record is from RNAcentral.
AACGAACGCUGGCGGCAGGCCUAACACAUGCAAGUCGAGCGCCCAGCAAUGGGAGCGGCAGACGGGUGAGUAACGCGUGGGUAUCUACCUAGUGGUGCGGAAUAGCCCAGGGAAACUUGGAGUAAUACCGCAUAAGCCCGAAAGGGGAAGAUUUAUCGCCAUUAGAUGAGCCCGCGUUGGAUUAGCUAGUUGGUGGGGUAACGGCCCACCAAGGCGACGAUCCAUAGCUGGUCUGAGAGGAUGAUCAGCCACACUGGGACUGAGACACGGCCCAGACUCCUACGGGAGGCAGCAGUGGGGAAUAUUGGACAAUGGGCGCAAGCCUGAUCCAGCCAUGCCGCGUGAGUGACGAAGGUCUUCGGAUUGUAAAGCUCUUUUGGCGGGGACGAUAAUGACGGUACCCGCAGAAUAA